Molecule: long non-coding RNA, 874 nt
Filed under: Oryza brachyantha (malo sina)
Lineage: Eukaryota; Viridiplantae; Streptophyta; Magnoliopsida; Poales; Poaceae
Description: long non-coding RNA (OBRA_LNC002569)
Source: RNAcentral
UAUAUGCCUGCACCUUACUCUCCAUAAAAAGAUCAACACCAGGGCUUCAGUGAUGGACACCAGAUUCUCAUUUCUUAUGUAAAUGCAGAUAGGAAUGGUAGACAGCAGAAAAUCAUUUCAUGGUACAGUGUUUUUACAUAGCGAAAAACAAUUUUCUGGCCUUUUCUUCUCGGUUGCCAAUUUAAGUCUUCAUAUUUCUUGUUAGCCGAGAUUGAUGUCCUAUCUUGAGAAAACAUAGCAAUCAAGCUCAUGGACCAAGGAGCAUUCUGCUGCUGAAGGGAAAAGAUCGGCAGUGAGAGUCAACAAACACGUCGCGAGUAGGACUGGUAAUAGACCUAACUUUUUUAUAUGUAUAAUUUAAGGGUUAUGUCCAAAAUAGAGUAGACUAAAAUUUAUAAGUUUUCGAAAUAAAAAUUUUUAAGAGAUAAUUAGGGUCAUGAAAGAAAACAAGAGCAUUGAUUCAUUACCCCCCUAGCCAAGAGUUGGAUGAGAAAAAGUGGGAGACGUAAUAGUGUUUGGAAACGGGAAGAUGCGCCUUCAAAAUUUUCUAAUAAGCCCAUGCCCGUUUCAGUGUUUGGUCUAAGCAUCAAAGAAGAAAAACUACCGAGGGAAAACCGAAAUAGUGUUAUUAAUUGUUCUGAAUUUAAACAUGUAAACUAACCGAAAUUCUAUGGUGGCGUGUGUUGCAGAGGUUGCAGAGGAGCUUGCCGAGACCAGAAAUAAAAUUCUCCACUGCACCCCAAAAAAAUUAAAAACUAGAAAGAAGCGGGCCGGGUAGCAUCUCUCACUAAUGAAGACGUGCUACUUAGAUUCUUUUUUUUUUUUGAACCGGUAGAACAAGUUGCAUGUAUUCAAAUUUUGUUAAAUUUGCAUG